This 72-nucleotide transfer RNA is filed under the name Camelus dromedarius (Arabian camel). It matches the Rfam family "tRNA". From Rfam's summary of the family: Transfer RNA (tRNA) molecules are approximately 80 nucleotides in length. Their secondary structure includes four short double-helical elements and three loops (D, anti-codon, and T loops). Lineage: Eukaryota; Metazoa; Chordata; Mammalia; Artiodactyla; Camelidae. The record is from Rfam by way of RNAcentral. RNAcentral also lists the same sequence under 1 other name.
GAGGGUACAGCUCAGCGGUAGAGCGUGUGCUUAGCAUACACGAGGUCCUGGGUUCAAUUCCAAGUACCUCCA